GUUAUUAUAGUGUAAUUUAAUACGCUACAUUUUCGUUGUAGAGAUAAAGAGUUUUCUUUUAAUAAUA
This 67-nucleotide transfer RNA is filed under the name Alpheus randalli. RNAcentral describes it as "tRNA-Glu". The record is from RNAcentral. Lineage: Eukaryota; Metazoa; Arthropoda; Malacostraca; Decapoda; Alpheidae.